Schistocerca cancellata (South American locust) is the source of this 239-nucleotide long non-coding RNA. RefSeq lists it as uncharacterized. NCBI's taxonomy places the organism in Eukaryota, Metazoa, Arthropoda, Insecta, Orthoptera, Acrididae. The transcript has 2 exons. The record is from RefSeq and is a predicted model, not a curated record.
UGAAGAGUCACGGAAUCACGAGUAUUCCACAUCACGCAGAGGAGAGCCUUAUAAAAGCUCUGCAGCCCAUGUUCACCUCAGCACUUCCAUCACCAUGAGGGCGACAGUGGCAGCUCUCCUCCUGUGUCUUGUGGUAUCAGCAUGCCGCAGCCAAGAAACUCCACCUGGCCCUCCUGGACCAACUGAGGGGCCACAACCAACUGGCCCACCAGGCCCACCAACCGGAGGUCCUGAUCCAA